GGCCGCGGGAAUUCGAUUCAGGCCUAACACAUGCAAGUCGAACGGAAAAGCCCUGCUUGCAGGGUACUCGAGUGGCGAACGGGUGAGUAACACGUGGGUGAUCUGCCCUGCACUUCGGGAUAAGCCUGGGAAACUGGGUCUAAUACCGGAUAGGACCAUCGUUUAGUGUCGGUGGUGGAAAGUUUUUCGGUGCAGGAUGAGCUCGCGGCCUAUCAGCUUGUUGGUGGGGUAAUGGCCUACCAAGGCGUCGACGGGUAGCCGGCCUGAGAGGGUGGACGGCCACAUUGGGACUGAGACACGGCCCAGACUCCUACGGGAGGCAGCAGUGGGGAAUAUUGCACAAUGGGCGCAAGCCUGAUGCAGCGACGCCGCGUGGGGGAUUAAGGGAUUCGGGUUGUAAACUCCUUUCAACCAUGACGAAGCGUAAGUGACGGUA
Molecule: ribosomal RNA, 436 nt
Filed under: uncultured bacterium
Lineage: Bacteria
Description: bacterial SSU rRNA
Rfam family: Bacterial small subunit ribosomal RNA
Source: RNAcentral